This 492-nucleotide ribosomal RNA is filed under the name uncultured bacterium. Its description in RNAcentral is "partial 16S ribosomal RNA". It matches the Rfam family "Bacterial small subunit ribosomal RNA", at positions 29 to 507 of the family's 1533-position model. The record is from RNAcentral.
AGUGAACGCUGGCGGUAGGCCUAACACAUGCAAGUCGAACGGCAGCACAGUAAGAGCUUGCUCUUACGGGUGGCGAGUGGCGGACGGGUGAGGAAUACAUCGGAAUCUACUUUUUCGUGGGGGAUAACGUAGGGAAACUUACGCUAAUACCGCAUACGACCUACGGGUGAAAGCAGGGGAUCUUCGGACCUUGCGCGAUUGAAUGAGCCGAUGCCGGAUUAGCUAGUUGGCGGGGUAAAGGCCCACCAAGGCGACGAUCCGUAGCUGGUCUGAGAGGAUGAUCGGCCACACUGGAACUGAGACACGGUCCAGACUCCUACGGGAGGCAGCAGUGGGGAAUAUUGGGCAAUGGGCGCAAGCCUGAUCCAGCCAUACCGCGUGAGUGAAGAAGGCCUUCGGGUUGUAAAGCCCUUUUGUUGGGGAAGAACAGCAGCAGGUUAAUACCCCGCUGUUCUGACGGUACCCAAAGAAUAAGCACCGGCUAACUUCGUG